RNAcentral lists this long non-coding RNA (1363 nucleotides) under Fukomys damarensis (Damara mole-rat). RNAcentral's name for it is "lncRNA (ENSFDAG00000029044.1)". The record is from RNAcentral. Lineage: Eukaryota; Metazoa; Chordata; Mammalia; Rodentia; Bathyergidae.
CAGUGAGGGCCGGAAGUGAGGGUGGAGGGAGGAGUGGUUUCCGGCGCCGAUGCGCUGUGCGCUGUGUAAUGGUCGUGGAUGCGCUGCUGUAUCCUGGGCAAAGCCUGUGGAAUGCACAGCACUGAGAGCGAGCCUAAUGGGAACUGGGGCUCCGAGUGACGAGGGUCUGUGGGUUCAGGGUUCUUGGUUGUGACGCCCGAGCCAUUCUCCGCAGGAGCGAGACGGAGCGGAGGCCUGUGGAUACCUCGGUUCCCAAACAGGAGCUCUGAGCAAAAGUUUUUGUUUGUGAACUCUGCCCCAGGCGACGAACAGGACCACAGGAGCACGAACAUGUCCUCCUUUUCCAGAAUCCGAGGACGAGUCGGGUUGUGAGCUGAGGCAUACCACAGACCGGAUGGACGAGACUUGAAUCAAAUUCAGUGGCUAGGCUCAAUGUUGACCUUGCAGGGAAAUCUAACUUGCUUCUUGUCAAGUUCGGUUUGCGACCGAAUCGUGGAGGGAAUUGGGCACCUAAACUGAGGCGCUACUGCGUGCGAAUAUAGGGGUGCUGCAGGAACUGGGGAUCCACUUUCAAACACACAGUGAGCAAAGGUUUCCAGGCCUUUAAGGAGAGGAGGCCAGAAGACAAGGUGCAUGGAAUGCCAGACUCCCCCAAGCACCACACAUAGUCCUUUCUGGCCCUUGGAGAGUCCAUUCUCAAGACUGCAGACCAGACUCAGGAUAAAGAGGCUUAGCUGGGUCCACACUGUCCCUUUACCAGGGCAGAGGCUAAGAGGCACAGCCACCGCAGAUUUCAGGAAUGCAAACAAUCAGAAAUGAUGAAGAAGUCCAGGACCUCCGACCUUAAUGAUGUUUCCACAUUUUUAAGUGAAGCCGCCAAGUAACCCUCGAACUUCCUCCCCUUGAAGGGACUUGCUGCACCAAAGGGAAGGAAGAAAUUAGUCAGAAACCACAGAGCAAUUAAGGGCUAAAGGGAGCCCAAGUGAAGUAUUGCCUAGUAGGCAAGCCAUUGUACUGCAGUGCUGUCGUGUCGUCCAAAGAAGAAAACACACUGUGUUUUCUUUGUUGGCCAAAAUGUACUAAACCCAUUCCCAGUAUGCGUGUGCGUGUGUGUAUAGGAGAGAUAAUAUAACCUUUCCAUUUGCCCAUGUGGCACUGAUUUUUUUUUCUAGUGGAGGAAACACUGUAAAAUCUAGGAAUAUCUAACAAAAGAGGCUCAGUCUUACAACUAGGAAAGAAAACGCUACGUGAAUAUUUGUUAUCUGGAAAUGACUCCAUCUGCCUGAAUGAAGAUAGGAGGCCAGAGAGACCACUGUGAGCUCCAGCCCCUGGCUCUCCCUAGUGUCCCUGGAUGGAAUCUUCU